GAGUUUUGAUCCUGGCUCAGGAUGAACGCUAGCUACAGGCUUAACACAUGCAAGUCGAGGGGAAACGACAUCGAAAGCUUGCUUUUGAUGGGCGUCGACCGGCGCACGGGUGAGUAACGCGUAUCCAACCUGCCCACCACUUGGGGAUAACCUUGCGAAAGUAAGACUAAUACCCAAUGACGUCUCUAGAAGACAUCUGAAGGAGAUUAAAGAUUUAUCGGUGAUGGAUGGGGAUGCGUCUGAUUAGCUUGUUGGGCGGGGUAACGGCCCACCAAGGCGACGAUCAGUAGGGGUUCUGAGAGGAACGGUCCCCACAUUGGAACUGAGACACGGUCCAAACUCCUACGGGAGCA
This 353-nucleotide ribosomal RNA is filed under the name uncultured bacterium. RNAcentral describes it as "bacterial SSU rRNA". It matches the Rfam family "Bacterial small subunit ribosomal RNA", at positions 9 to 349 of the family's 1533-position model. The record is from RNAcentral.